RNAcentral lists this non-coding RNA (28 nucleotides) under Mus musculus (house mouse). The record is from RNAcentral. Lineage: Eukaryota; Metazoa; Chordata; Mammalia; Rodentia; Muridae.
UGAUGGGUCAUGUAUAUUACUUGCCAGG